AUUGAACGCUGGCGGCAGGCCUAACACAUGCAAGUCGAACGAGUGGCGGACGGGUGAGUGAUGUCUGGGAAACUGCCUGAUGGAGGGGGAUAACUACUGGAAACGGUAGCUAAUACCGCAUACCAUAAGAUGAGCCCAGAUGGGAUUAGCUUGUUGGUGGUGUAACGGCUCACCAACGUGACGAUCCCUAGCUGGUAUGAGAGGAUGACAGGCAACACUGGAAAUGAGACAGGGUCCAGACUCCUACGGGAGGCAGCAGGGGGGAAUAUUGCACAAUGGGCGCACGCCUGAUGCAGCCAUGCCGCGUGUAUGAAGAAGGCCUUCGGGUUGUAAAGUAAUUUCAGCUGUGAGGCGUUACCCGCAGAAGAAGCACCGGCGAACACCGUGCCAGCAGCCGCGGUAAUA
Molecule: ribosomal RNA, 405 nt
Filed under: uncultured bacterium
Lineage: Bacteria
Description: partial 16S ribosomal RNA
Rfam family: Bacterial small subunit ribosomal RNA
Source: RNAcentral